ACCUGGUUGAUCCUGCCAGUAGUCAUAUGCUUGUCUCAAAGAUUAAGCCAUGCAUGUAUAAGUAUAAAUUUGUUUAUGGUGAAACUGCGAAUGGCUCAUUACAACGGUUAUAGUUUACUUGAGAUAUAACUACUGGAUAACCGUAGUAACUCUAGAGCUAAUACAUUUAUCGGGACGUUAGUCUCGUGUUUAUUAGAUUUCACCGAACAGAUUUUUCUGUUGGGGUGUCAUGAUAAAUUAACGAAUCGUUUUUACGAUGCUUCAAACAAGUUUCCGUCCCAUCAGUUUGUUGGUUGUGUAUUGGACUACCAAAACACUUACGGGUAACGAGGAAUUGGGGUUCGAUUUCGGAGAGGGAGUCUGAGAAACGGCUACCACAUCUACGGAAGGCAGCAGGCGCGCAAAUUACCCAAUGUAAAUAUGUAUGAGGUAAUGACAAGAAAUAUCAAAGCGAACUUAUGUUUGCUAUUGAAAUGGGUAAAAUUUAAACAAUUUUACUAGGA
This 503-nucleotide ribosomal RNA is filed under the name uncultured ciliate. Its description in RNAcentral is "bacterial SSU rRNA". It matches the Rfam family "Eukaryotic small subunit ribosomal RNA", at positions 1 to 543 of the family's 1831-position model. The record is from RNAcentral. Lineage: Eukaryota; Ciliophora.